This 2338-nucleotide long non-coding RNA is filed under the name Sus scrofa (pig). Its description in RNAcentral is "lncRNA (ENSSSCG00065070584.1)". Lineage: Eukaryota; Metazoa; Chordata; Mammalia; Artiodactyla; Suidae. The record is from RNAcentral.
GUUUUUAGGGCUGCACCCGCGGCAUAUGGAGGUUCCCAGGCUAGAGGUCGAAACGGAGCUGUAGCCACCAAUUCACCACCGCCACAGCAACGCCAGAUCCGAGCCACAUCUUCGACCUACACCACAGCUCACAGCAAAGCUAGAUACUUAAUCCACUGAGUGAGGCCAGGGAUUGAACCUGUAACCUCAUGGUUCCUAGUCAGAUUCGUUUCUGCUGCGCCACAACAGGAACCCCUAAUUUAUAACUUUCAAAAGGGCAAGUGAUCACUUCACUCUGAGAAGUGUGUGUGGCCAUCUCAGUGUAACCUGGGCUGAGCCAGGAAGGAACAAGUUUCAAGUUUGGGGAAAAAAGGUGCUUCUGUAAGAAGAGUCUCCUUUCUCCUCCUCGGUCACUAUACCCACCUCGUCACCUCAUCAUGGUUUGCUUUGUCCGUUUAUUAUACAACUGUGGUUCUUUGCUUCACUUUUGAUGUUUACUAUAAGCUCUUUGCUUCCCACUCUCGAUUAAAACCAAACACAAAACAGAAACUUCUCGCUAACAAAACAGAGUGAGCAUAAAACCACGAUGUCUCGACCUCAAAUGCCCCAAGAGACCCACUGCACACAGCUGUGUCCUGCAUAUGAAGGGUGGAGUUUAUAGGCUGACCUGUCUCCUGUCCCCAUGGUUAACAGCCUUCUGAGCAGCCUCCUCAACUUCUCACCCCAGGUGGCCAGGUUGUGAACACAGAUGACGCCUUCCGAUGUGAGCUAAGCAAAUCUCAGGGCAUGUUAUCAGCUACGAACGCCUGUGAUGGGAUCUGAGAGGGAGCAGGAGUGUGGAUCAGCUGUUCAUUGCCCCCUGGGGAAUGGGAUGUGGAGCUGGAUGCUGGAAGAAGCACUGCAUCUCCUGGCCUCGUCAUGAGGUGUCAUAGCCCCCAGGAGUCCCCAGGCAGUGAGACCCAUGGCAGCAACGACACAGACCUAAUAGACAUUCGCCAUCACCCUCCACAGGUAGGAGGUGCCUCUGUUCACAUCCAAGAGCUACCGUCCAGCCAGGAGCACGCAGGGCGAUGCUUGCCUUGGGAGACAGAACCCUGGCAGAGCCGUCUACACCCAUAAUCACCUCUCACAAUACAUCCAGGAGGUGAUGCUAUAUGUAAGGAAACAGGGCCCCACUGUAGGUGAAGCCCAAUCCCCAUCCUUCUGUCCAUCCCUCACCCACCCACUGCAUCCAAGGCCCCAUGCAUGGGACCUGCCUCCCCAGGGGCGCCAGGAGCUUCAGGCAUGUUCAGCGCAGAGAGAGCCGGUGGAUGGGCUGCACUUGGAGCUCAGCUCCCAGCCCCGCCAUCUGUGUCCCACCAGGCAUCUGCCAGUGUGGCCCUGACCACAGCGAUGGCAGGGUCCUUGAAGAGGAGAUUCCCCUGUGGACAUGUGGAACCAUGAGGAAUGUGUAUUCUGAAAACUUUUUACGGAGCCACUUCCGGGAGGUGGAAGCCAGGCAUCUAUCCCCAAACACGGCUCCCAUGGAAAUUGUCUGGGCGGUUUUUUGCAAAGAAGGCUCCUGAGCCACGUCCAGGCCCACGGGACCCGGAUUAGUUUGGGAUUAACACACACACACAUUACUAUAUAUAAGAUAGAUAAGCAACAAGGGCCUACUGUACAGCACAGGAAAUUCUACUGAAUAGUCUAAUAACCUAUACAGGAAAAGAAUCUGAAAAAGAAUAAAUCUGUGUACAUGCACAACUGGUUCACUUUGCUGUACACCUGAAACUAACACAACAUUGCAAAUCAAGUACACUCCGACAGAAAAUAAACAUUAAAUUUUUAGAAAGUGAUGGCAAGAUAAAGCACUUCACAAAGUACUGGUCUAUCCUGGUCUCACCGUAGCAGCUGGAGGGGAACUGGGCGACCCCUUCCAUGGCCACAUAACCCCCUCGUGGCCCCCUGACGUGUGCAAGUUGCAAAGGAAACAGGAGGAGGUGCUCAUCCUCAGCCCUCCUCCUGGCCCCAAAUUUGGUCCAGGAACAAGCAGAGUAUGAGACGCAAUUAGCAGCCCUGAGCUCUUAAUGAAAACCCAGACAUGUCCAUAGCGAUGACCUCAAAUGGCAGCUGGCACUCAGGGCAGAGAGCAAACUGCACAUUCAGGGAGCUGGUUCUCUAACCCCGGGCAGCUGUAACGUUGAGACAGUGGGCCUGCCCCUCCCAAGCUGCUCCUCUUCUUUGAAAAAGAGCUACAGAACCAAUUCCAUGCUCAAGUGUGUGUGUCCAGGGGGACAGGGGAGUUUCUUGAUGGAAAAUAGCCUAAAUUCGAAUUAUACUAGUGACAUGAGCCUUCCACGGCACAUACAAGAACUCUCCU